Molecule: ribosomal RNA, 513 nt
Filed under: uncultured eubacterium WR1133
Lineage: Bacteria
Description: bacterial SSU rRNA
Rfam family: Bacterial small subunit ribosomal RNA
Source: RNAcentral
GAGUUUGAUCCUGGCUCAGAUUGAACGCUGGCGGCAUGCCUAACACAUGCAAGUCGAACGAGGGUAGCAAUACCUUAGUGGCGGACGGGUGAGGAAUACGUAGGAAUUUGCCCUUAAGUGGGGGAUAGCCCGGGGAAACCCGGAUUAAUACCGCAUGAUCUCGAAAGAGCAAAGUGGGGGAUCGCAAGACCUCACGCUUUUGGAGAAGCCUACGUCGGAUUAGCUAGUUGGUGAGGUAAUGGCUCACCAAGGCGACGAUCCGUAACUGGUCUGAGAGGAUGAUCAGUCACACCGGAACUGAGACACGGUCCGGACUCCUACGGGAGGCAGCAGUGGGGAAUAUUGGACAAUGGGCGAAAGCCUGAUCCAGCAAUGCCGCGUGUGUGAAGAAGGCCUUCGGGUUGUAAAGCACUUUAAGUUGGGAGGAAGGGCAUGCACCUAAUACGUGUGUGUCUUGACGUUACCGACAGAAUAAGCACCGGCUAACUCUGUGCCAGCAGCCGCGGUAAUACG